RNAcentral lists this ribosomal RNA (119 nucleotides) under Pteropus alecto (black flying fox). Lineage: Eukaryota; Metazoa; Chordata; Mammalia; Chiroptera; Pteropodidae. The record is from RNAcentral.
GUCUAUGGCCCUGCCACCCUGAACAAGCCCGAUCCCGUCUGAUCUUGGAAGCUAAGCAGGGUCGGGCCUGGUUAGUACUUGGAUGGGAGACAACCUAGGAAGACCAGGUGCUGCUGGCG